RNAcentral lists this ribosomal RNA (291 nucleotides) under uncultured bacterium. RNAcentral describes it as "partial 16S ribosomal RNA". It matches the Rfam family "Bacterial small subunit ribosomal RNA", at positions 333 to 641 of the family's 1533-position model. The record is from RNAcentral.
CUAGCCCUACGGGGGGCAGCAGUGGGGAAUAUUGCACAAUGGGGGGAACCCUGAUGCAGCGACGCCGCGUGAGUGAAGAAGUAUUUCGGUAUGUAAAGCUCUAUCAGCAGGGAAGAAGAUGACGGUACCUGACUAAGAAGCCCCGGCUAACUACGUGCCAGCAGCCGCGGUAAUACGUAGGGGGCAAGCGUUAUCCGGAUUUACUGGGUGUAAAGGGAGCGUAGACGGCGGGGCAAGUCUGGAGUGAAAGCCCGGGGCCCAACCCCGGGACUGCUUUAGAAACUGCCAUGC